RNAcentral lists this long non-coding RNA (457 nucleotides) under Hordeum vulgare. RNAcentral describes it as "long non-coding RNA (HVUL_LNC000026)". Lineage: Eukaryota; Viridiplantae; Streptophyta; Magnoliopsida; Poales; Poaceae. The record is from RNAcentral.
CACCAGAGAGUAGAAAAUCCAGUCUCCUAAAAGAACAAUGUGGAAUCAGUGGGAAAGAGAAAGGUGCAAGGAAGACAGAUGUCGGGCUUGAGACGGCCUGUUUUUAAAUCGAAGGAUGAAAAACUAACAACUCACAAUCGUUGUUACCAGAACCCAUGGUAGACGCCAAGCAGGAGCAGGAGCAGCAGCAGGACGUCUGGCGUCGUAAAGGCAGAAGCCGCAGAGCCUGGCCAGCUGCAAAGUUGUGGAAAUACUUGGGAGAUGCUUGUGUGGCCUUCCUCUAUUUGAUAUGAAGACUGUACACUUGCAAUCUAUAAAGAGGCUGUGCUUCCGGUCUUAUGUUUGAGGGACUGUUCAUACGUGGUUCGCGGGAUCGUUUAUGUACAGUUCGAGGGACUCCAAACUCGAUCUUCAUCGCCACGUUCUUUUUUCGCUGCAACUUGAUAAAGGUAACGAU